RNAcentral lists this unclassified non-coding RNA (330 nucleotides) under soil metagenome. Its description in RNAcentral is "partial contains 5.8S ribosomal RNA, internal transcribed spacer 2, and large subunit ribosomal RNA". The stretch from base 1 to 120 matches the Rfam family "5.8S ribosomal RNA", at positions 35 to 154 of the family's 154-position model. The record is from RNAcentral.
GAUGAAGAACGCAGCGAAAUGCGAUAAGUAAUGUGAAUUGCAGAAUUCAGUGAAUCAUCGAAUCUUUGAACGCACAUUGCGCCCCCUGGUAUUCCGGGGGGCAUGCCUGUUCGAGCGUCAUUUCACCACUCAAGCCUCGCUUGGUAUUGGGCAUCGCGGUCCGCCGCGUGCCUCAAAUCGACCGGCUGGGUCUUCUGUCCCCUAAGCGUUGUGGAAACUAUUCGCUAAAGGGUGUUCGGGAGGCUACGCCGUAAAACAACCCCAUUUCUAAGGUUGACCUCGGAUCAGGUAGGGAUACCCGCUGAACUUAAGCAUAUCAAUAACGGAGGA